GGCCCAUUCUACCAUGCUUGGGAGGGAGGCCAGCGUGUUGGCAUGGCAUGGUGGGCAGACUGCUGGGCCUGUCCGGAGGGGAGAGCAGGGCCAAGGCAAGGCAGAAUAUGAGCUCUUUGAUGGUAGGAGCCACUAUGUCUUUGUACUCUCAACCUUAUAUAGUUCCUGGAACAUGAUAUCACUGGGAUUGAAUACAUGGAACUGAAUCCAACUGAAUUGAAAGCCCUGGUGCCUAGCACAAUGCCUGGCAUACAAUAGGCACCUGAUAAGUACUUUUAAUAAACGUUCAGAACUAAACUCA
RNAcentral lists this long non-coding RNA (301 nucleotides) under Monodelphis domestica (gray short-tailed opossum). Its description in RNAcentral is "lncRNA (ENSMODG00000033702.2)". Lineage: Eukaryota; Metazoa; Chordata; Mammalia; Didelphimorphia; Didelphidae. The record is from RNAcentral.